RNAcentral lists this non-coding RNA (27 nucleotides) under Cricetulus griseus (Chinese hamster). Lineage: Eukaryota; Metazoa; Chordata; Mammalia; Rodentia; Cricetidae. The record is from RNAcentral.
GUGGAUUCAAUUGAGGCAUAUUUGGAU